This is a non-coding RNA of Eutypa lata, 68 nucleotides long. The record is from Rfam. Lineage: Eukaryota; Fungi; Ascomycota; Sordariomycetes; Xylariales; Diatrypaceae.
AUGUAUUUCGUUUUACAUUAGCCAAACUAGAUAUGCAGAAUGAGUAAUUGUACUGUGUAAAGCUCUAG